RNAcentral lists this ribosomal RNA (442 nucleotides) under uncultured bacterium. RNAcentral's name for it is "bacterial SSU rRNA". It matches the Rfam family "Bacterial small subunit ribosomal RNA", at positions 355 to 786 of the family's 1533-position model. The record is from RNAcentral.
UGGGGAAUAUUGCGCAAUGGGCGAAAGCCUGACGCAGCGACGCCGCGUGAGGGAUGAAGGUCUUCGGAUCGUAAACCUCUGUCAGCAGGGAAGAAAUUUUUAGUGUGCUAAUCAGCAUUAAAUUGACGGUACCUGCAAAGGGAAGCACCGGCUAACUCCGUGCCAGCAGCCGCGGUAAUACGGAGGGUGCGAGCGUUAAUCGGAAUUACUGGGCGUAAAGCGCUCGUAGGUGGUAUGUCAAGUCAAGGGUGAAAUCCCCGCGCUCAACGUGGGGAACUGCCUUUGAAACUGGCAGACUGGAGUGUGUGAGAGGAUAGUGGAAUUCCAGGUGUAGGAGUGAAAUCCGUAGAUAUCUGGAGGAACAUCAGUGGCGAAGGCGACUAUCUGGCACAUAACUGACACUGAGGAGCGAAGCGUGGGGUAGCAAACAGGAUUAGAUACC